GGCUCCUAGAGUAAAACCCUGGCCAAUCACGAUAAAGGACGCGCGAGUUGAUUAGCAUAAAAUGAUUCGGGCUUUUUUUCUCUUUUUUGUCCCCCUCCCCCACCCCAAACAUUUCUCCUCCGCACCGCGGAGGCGCUCGGGGCCGUCAGCAGUCGCUGCUCAGUUCGAAGAGCCCCUCAACGGCGGCGCACUGGGGCCUGCGCGCGGCGGGCGGGCGCCUGGACAGGCCCGUGCCGGGCCAUGCCGGCUGGGAGCGCCACGUGCCCCCUCGCCUUCCGCCGCCGGAAGCUGCAGGCCUCGGCCCCGCCCACUGCGAGGUGAAGCGUUAACGUCUAACGGCUUCGCGCGAGGCCGGAGGCUUGAGUUGUGGGAAGGGGGUUCGUGGGGUCUGGAGUGGGCCAGGUGGGCUUGAGGUAAAGGCCGGGAGUGGACAAACCCUCAAGUCUUACGUUUUAAUCAUGAAUUUGGUCCUUGGUUCAUUUUGGGUCCUUCCCACACUCCCCAUUGGACAUUAGAGGAAACUAAACCCCUAGAAAAGGAUUUUACUUUACUGAUGGUGAUUAACUGCCCCUAAAUUACCACCUUAUACAAAAGUGGAAAGCUUUUGAUAAUACAAAGGGUUAAUUUCUUAGCAUAUACUCUCUUACAUGACUGCUGCCAGCUGGUUGGCUUUCUUUUCAGAAGCCGUUCUUUAUCUCGUCAAGAUCUCUUCAACCCAGCUAUUCUUGAGUGGACAGCAAGAAACCAAACUGAGAUGUAGGUGCAGGGGCACUUCACCACCACUUGACAAUGUCUAGCACACCAGCCUUGUAACCAGAGCAUCAAACUUGUGUCUUGGCAAAAUUACUACUUGCUACAUGGGGUUGAGUUUGAGGAUUGGUCCUGAAUAGCUGAAACCACAAAUGUCCAAUAUGUGAUUGCAGCAGGCCUUCUGCAUAAGGAUGGCUUGGCCUGAAGUCAAGGGCUAUAUGUUUAUCUAAACGCUACCAUAUGGAUCCAAUACUGUGAACAAAAGGAGUGUUCAGCUAGCGAAGGGAGAUUCAUGGAAAGGACUGUGACACUUACUCCAGAACACAGGUUUCUGAUAAACUUUCAGAUCAUAAAACUGAACUGGCCUAUCAUCAACAGGUUAAAGAAGCUUUCCUGGAUCCCAAUUUGAAGGAUCCUGUUGGGCACAGUCUAGAGCCUAGUGACUGGGUAUUCUGGAAGCAUCAUCAGAGGAAGACAGCCCUAGAGCCCCAUAGGAAAGGACUUUACCAAGUGCUCCUGACCACUGGCACUCCUGCAGAACUAGAAGGCAUUGAACCUUGGAGACACAUCUCACAGCUAAUGAAGGCUCCACCUGAGAUCUGCUCCUGUAUAAAUGCUGGAGACCUCCAAAUCUAAUUGAUGAGGAAGAAAAGCAGCCGACAUUAGAGGCAGACAGCUUUCCCAAGAUGGCUGGACCAGCUCGAUGUUAUAAAAACACCACUCGAAUAAUGGACACUCAGGACUUUGAAAUGAUUACUAAGGCUUAUGAAACUUCACAGAACGACAGAAGAUGUUUAUCCUUAAAAAGACUUGAAAGGAGAGCUUUAUUCCGCUCUGCGCUCUUGUUGCUCAACCAUGUUCUAAAAGCUCCUAAGGAAACCACGUUCCCUCCUGGGUGGGACAUGACUACCAGGAAUGAACCUUCCUGGAGAUGAGGGACCAGUGAUGCUUUGAUGGCUGACGAGCAAUGUUUUCCAACAGUUGAUCAGCAAUGCUUCCCAGUAUUUGAUCAGCAAUGCUUUUGGAAAGAUAUUGAUCAAAAGGGAAAAAUGUGAAAGAUGACAUGAGUGGAGCCAUAUUAAAACAGAGCUGGAGCAGCCAUUUCAGAGGAAUUGUCUUGCACAUCUUGUUUUCUUCCAAACUGGACCAAACCACCAACAUUCCAAGAAGUCAAUAAGGACAAGAAUAUCUUGUUUGUGAGGACUGAUGAAAUUGGACUUUAGCUGAUGACUGAAUCACUGGCCAAUCAACAAAGUACAAAUCUAGCCUUAACUCAUCUAGCACCAGUGGACUUUUCUUUAAUACAACUUCAUCUUCCUCCCUUUUCCCCAUAAAAACCCUGAGCCCCUCUCCUGUAAUCAGGACACUAUUUGGGUUUCUACCUGAAUCUGUGCUCCCUAAACUGCAAUUCUUUCAUCCCAAAAUAAAUGCUUCUCUGCCUCU
Equus caballus (horse) is the source of this 2193-nucleotide non-coding RNA. The record is from RefSeq and is a predicted model, not a curated record. Lineage: Eukaryota; Metazoa; Chordata; Mammalia; Perissodactyla; Equidae.